AACGCACAUUGCGCCUGCUGGUAUUCCGGUAGGCAUGCCUGUUUGAGCGUCAGCAAAACCUCUCAGCUACUACUUUAUUGUAUACUGCUGGUUAUGGGUGAUUUGGAGGAACCUUGGUCCCUUGUGGCCAGCUCCCACCUUAAACUUGCUGCACGACCGCAAGCUAAUGCUAGGUUAAUGGAGUGGUAUUUUCUUAUAAUUCCAGCGACUCUUACAUAGCUACUGCGGCGUUAAACCUGAUGUCGUCUAAACCGCGACUGAAGUUUGACCUCAAAUCAGACAAGGAUACCCGCUGAACUUAA
RNAcentral lists this unclassified non-coding RNA (302 nucleotides) under uncultured fungus. RNAcentral's name for it is "partial contains 5.8S ribosomal RNA, internal transcribed spacer 2, and large subunit ribosomal RNA". The stretch from base 1 to 52 matches the Rfam family "5.8S ribosomal RNA", at positions 103 to 154 of the family's 154-position model. Lineage: Eukaryota; Fungi. The record is from RNAcentral.